CCCAUCCUAAAACAGGCCCUUUUCUUUCUUUAUGUUCAGCUGCUUCCAGGAUGGCAUAGCAUAGAAAUCCACCCGAGAAAUCCCCAUGAUCAGGAGGAAGUCGUCGUUUGAGAGAUAGUCCUGCAUAGAUGAUAGAGGGUCAACUUUUACAGUCUGCUUGGCUAAUGAAUCACUUUAAUGGGCAUCUUCAAAGCUAAAGGUCUUUUCUGCAAUGGAAAAAGUGAGAGUAAGAGGAACUCACCUGCCACCGGAGCAAUCGAGAAGGACGCAGCCAGAAGUACGAAAUUCCUACAGCUUUCGAACAACUUGAGGAUCAAGAAACAUGACAUUAUGGGACAUUGGAAGCCAGUCUGAAGCCAUAGGAUGUACCUUUUUGAUUUAUUUUCAAUGUUAAAAUGCCGUUGUGCCAUCAGAGACCCAAAUGCAUAGCCCAAAUUCAUAAAAGAACAAGGCAAAGUACAGUUGUAAUUUAUUUAUAUUUUAGACAUUUACAGAGCCUUUAUAUACAAACACACAUAUUCUAUAUAUUCUAUAUCCUAUAUAUUCUAUAACCUAAAUUGAAUGUUAUGAACAUUGAAGGACCAAUAGGCAUGUUACAAUGCAAAGCUAAGCAAAUGUCUAUUAUGUUAAUAAUGUGGAAAGCCAGCGUUCAGUGUUCAGUGCUCAUGUUUCAUAAUGGAGAAUAUGUGAAAUGCAGUACAGAGGCAUUGCAUAGAGAUAUCAUUAGUUUCCAUAGGGAUUUGCAUCUGGACAGACAUUGAAACAUACAAUAUUAAGGUACUGAGAGUUUCUAAAAUGUAAAUGCUUUUACCAAUGCACAACUGUAGAGACAGACAUUUUAACGAGGCCUUUGUGAACUGAAAUUGCCAAAAC
Molecule: long non-coding RNA, 873 nt
Organism: Ctenopharyngodon idella (grass carp)
Lineage: Eukaryota; Metazoa; Chordata; Actinopteri; Cypriniformes; Xenocyprididae
Exons: 4
Source: RefSeq, a predicted model, not a curated record